RNAcentral lists this ribosomal RNA (284 nucleotides) under uncultured bacterium. Its description in RNAcentral is "partial 16S ribosomal RNA". It matches the Rfam family "Bacterial small subunit ribosomal RNA", at positions 333 to 614 of the family's 1533-position model. The record is from RNAcentral.
CCUUCCCUACGGGAGGCAGCAGUGAGGAAUAUUGGUCAAUGGCCGAAGGGCUGAACCAGCCAAGCCGCGUGAAGGAAUAAGGCCCUACGGGUCGUAAACUUCUUUAGUCAGGGAACAAAGGGAGCCACGCGUGGCGCUGUGAGUGUACAUGAAGAAUAAGCAUCGGCUAACUCCGUGCCAGCAGCCGCGGUAAUACGGAGGAUGCGAGCGUUAUCCGGAUUUAUUGGGUUUAAAGGGUGCGUAGGCGGUUUGUCAAGUCAGCGGUAAGAAUUCGUGGCUCAACC